AGUGAACGCUGGCGGUAGGCCUAACACAUGCAAGUCGGACGGCAGCACAGUAAGAGCUUGCUCUUACGGGUGGCGAGUGGCGGACGGGUGAGGAAUACAUCGGAAUCUACUUUUUCGUGGGGGAUAACGUAGGGAAACUUACGCUAAUACCGCAUACGACCUACGGGUGAAAGCAGGGGAUCUUCGGACCUUGCGCGAUUGAAUGAGCCGAUGUCGGAUUAGCUAGUUGGCGGGGUAAAGGCCCACCAAGGCGACGAUCCGUAGCUGGUCUGAGAGGAUGAUCAGCCACACUGGAACUGAGACACGGUCCAGACUCCUACGGGAGGCAGCAGUGGGGAAUAUUGGACAAUGGGCGCAAGCCUGAUCCAGCCAUACUGCGUGGGUGAAGAAGGCCUUCGGGUUGUAAAGCCCUUUUGUUGGGAAAGAAAAGCAGCAGGUUAAUACCCCGCUGUUCUGACGGUACCCAAAGAAUAAGCACCGGCUAACUUCGUG
This 492-nucleotide ribosomal RNA is filed under the name uncultured bacterium. RNAcentral's name for it is "partial 16S ribosomal RNA". It matches the Rfam family "Bacterial small subunit ribosomal RNA", at positions 29 to 507 of the family's 1533-position model. The record is from RNAcentral.